Molecule: ribosomal RNA, 253 nt
Filed under: uncultured bacterium
Lineage: Bacteria
Description: partial 16S ribosomal RNA
Rfam family: Bacterial small subunit ribosomal RNA
Source: RNAcentral
UACAGAGGGGGCAAGCGUUAUUCGGAAUGACUGGGCGUAGAGGGCGCGUAGGCGGAUGGCACAGUCAGAUGUGAAAUUCCCGGGCUUAACCUGGGGGCUGCAUUUGAUACGUGUUGUCUUGAGUUCGGAAGAGGGUCGUGGAAUUCCCAGUGUAGAGGUGAAAUUCGUAGAUAUUGGGAAGAACACCGGUGGCGAAGGCGGCUCACUGGCUCAUUACUGACGCUCAGGCGCGAUAGCGUGGGGAGCAAACAGG